This 432-nucleotide ribosomal RNA is filed under the name uncultured Brevundimonas sp. RNAcentral's name for it is "bacterial SSU rRNA". It matches the Rfam family "Bacterial small subunit ribosomal RNA", at positions 342 to 791 of the family's 1533-position model. Lineage: Bacteria; Pseudomonadati; Pseudomonadota; Alphaproteobacteria; Caulobacterales; Caulobacteraceae. The record is from RNAcentral.
CGGGUGGCAGCAGUGGGGAAUCUUGCGCAAUGGGCGAAAGCCUGACGCAGCCAUGCCGCGUGAAUGAUGAAGGUCUUAGGAUUGUAAAAUUCUUUCACCGGGGACGAUAAUGACGGUACCCGGAGAAGAAGCCCCGGCUAACUUCGUGCCAGCAGCCGCGGUAAUACGAAGGGGGCUAGCGUUGCUCGGAAUUACUGGGCGUAAAGGGCGCGUAGGCGGACAUUUAAGUCAGGGGUGAAAUCCCAGAGCUCAACUCUGGAACUGCCUUUGAUACUGGGUGUCUUGAGUGUGAGAGAGGUAUGUGGAACUCCGAGUGUAGAGGUGAAAUUCGUAGAUAUUCGGAAGAACACCAGUGGCGAAGGCGACAUACUGGCUCAUUACUGACGCUGAGGCGCGAAAGCGUGGGGAGCAAACAGGAUUAGAUACCCGCGU